UACCUGCAGCUCAAGUAGUGGCCGCUAUUAUUGGGCCUAAAACGUCCGUAGCCGGUUCUAUAAAUGCCUGGGUAAAUCGUACGGCUUAACCGUACGAAUUCCGGGUAGACUGUUCAACUUGAGACCGGGAGAGGCUAGAGGUACUCCUGGGGUAGAGGUGAAAUUCUGUAAUCCUAGGGGGACCACCAGUGGCGAAGGCGUCUAGCUAGAACGGGUCUGACGGUGAGGGACGAAGCCCUGGGGAGCAAACGGGAUUAGAUACCCCGGUAGUCCAGGGUGUAAACGCUGCUCGCUUGAUGUUAGUUGGGCUCCGAGCCCAACUAGUGUCGGAGAGAAGUUGUUAAGCGAGCUGCCUGGGGAGUACGGUCGCAAGACUGAAACUUAAGGAAUUGGCGGGGGAGCACCGCAACGGGUGGAGCGUGCGGUUU
RNAcentral lists this ribosomal RNA (428 nucleotides) under uncultured archaeon. RNAcentral's name for it is "bacterial SSU rRNA". It matches the Rfam family "Archaeal small subunit ribosomal RNA", at positions 474 to 903 of the family's 1478-position model. The record is from RNAcentral.